Molecule: ribosomal RNA, 470 nt
Filed under: uncultured bacterium
Lineage: Bacteria
Description: bacterial SSU rRNA
Rfam family: Bacterial small subunit ribosomal RNA
Source: RNAcentral
GAUGAACGCUAGCUACAGGCUUAACACAUGCAAGUCGAGGGGCAGCAUGCUGAUAGCUUGCUAUCAGUGAUGGCGACCGGCGCACGGGUGAGUAACGCGUAUCCAACCUGCCUGUCACUCAGGAAUAGCCCGGUGAAAACCGGAUUAAGUCCUGAUGAUAUCAUUAGAGGGCAUCUGACGAUGAUUAAAGGUUACGGUGACAGAUGGGGAUGCGUCUGAUUAGCUUGUUGGCGGGGUAACGGCCCACCAAGGCAACGAUCAGUAGGGGUUCUGAGAGGAAGGUCCCCCACAUUGGAACUGAGACACGGUCCAAACUCCUACGGGAGGCAGCAGUGGGGGAUAUUGGACAAUGGGGGGCAACCCUGAUCCAGCGACGCCGCGUGAGGGAAGAAGGUUUUCGGAUUGUAAACCUCUGUCGACAGGGGAAAAUGAUGAUGGUACCUGUGGAGGAAGCCACGGCUAACUACGUG